GCAUCGGUGGUUUAGUGGUAAAAUUAGCCGUUGCCAUUCCUACAUGUCAAUUCGGCUAGCCCCGGGUUCGAUUCCCGGCCGAUGCA
Non-coding RNA from Phaeosphaeriaceae sp. PMI808, 86 nucleotides. The record is from the annotation of a GenBank genome assembly. NCBI's taxonomy places the organism in Eukaryota, Fungi, Ascomycota, Dothideomycetes, Pleosporales, Phaeosphaeriaceae.